Molecule: non-coding RNA, 98 nt
Organism: Acanthosepion pharaonis
Lineage: Eukaryota; Metazoa; Mollusca; Cephalopoda; Sepiida; Sepiidae
Source: the annotation of a GenBank genome assembly
CGCUGAAACAUGUUCUCAUACGAUCACCGACGUUAAGCAACGUCGAGACGGGUCAGUAACUUGAUGGGUGAUUGCUUGAGAAUAUCAGGUGUUGUAAG